AUUGAACGCUGGCGGAAUGCUUUACACAUGCAAGUCGAACGGCAGCACGGGUGCUUGCACCUGGUGGCGAGUGGCGAACGGGUGAGUAAUACAUCGGAACGUACCCAGUCGUGGGGGAUAACGUAGCGAAAGUUACGCUAAUACCGCAUACGUCCUGAGGGAGAAAGCGGGGGACCGUAAGGCCUCGCGCGAUUGGAGCGGCCGAUGGCGGAUUAGCUAGUUGGGGGGGUAAAGGCCUACCAAGGCGACGAUCCGUAGCGGGUCUGAGAGGACGGGCCGCCACACUGGAACUGGAACACGGUCCAGACGCCUACGGGAGGCAGCAGUGGGGAAUUUUGGACAAUGGGCGAAAGCCUGAUCCAGCCAUUCCGCGUGAGUGAAGAAGGCGUUCGGGUUGUAAAGCUCUUUCGGCAGGGAAGAAACGGCUUGGGAUAAUACCCCGGGCUAAUGACGGUACCUGAAGAAGAAGCACCGGCUAACUACGUGCCAGCCGCCGCGGUAA
RNAcentral lists this ribosomal RNA (502 nucleotides) under uncultured bacterium. Its description in RNAcentral is "partial 16S ribosomal RNA". It matches the Rfam family "Bacterial small subunit ribosomal RNA", at positions 29 to 523 of the family's 1533-position model. The record is from RNAcentral.